This 88-nucleotide transfer RNA is filed under the name Bacillota bacterium. Its description in RNAcentral is "Firmicutes bacterium (gut metagenome) tRNA-Ser". It matches the Rfam family "tRNA". From Rfam's summary of the family: Transfer RNA (tRNA) molecules are approximately 80 nucleotides in length. Their secondary structure includes four short double-helical elements and three loops (D, anti-codon, and T loops). Lineage: Bacteria; Bacillati; Bacillota. The record is from RNAcentral.
GGAAGGCUGGCUGAGCGGUCGAAAGCGGCGGUCUUGAAAACCGUUGAUGCGAAAGUAUCCGGGGGUUCGAAUCCCUCGCCUUCCGCCA